This 370-nucleotide ribosomal RNA is filed under the name uncultured bacterium. Its description in RNAcentral is "bacterial SSU rRNA". It matches the Rfam family "Bacterial small subunit ribosomal RNA", at positions 527 to 896 of the family's 1533-position model. The record is from RNAcentral.
GGAGGGUGCAAGCGUUAAUCGGAAUUACUGGGCGUAAAGCGCGCGUAGGUGGCUUGAUAAGCCGGUUGUGAAAGCCCCGGGCUCAACCUGGGAACGGCAUCCGGAACUGUCAGGCUAGAGUGCAGGAGAGGAAGGUAGAAUUCCCGGUGUAGCGGUGAAAUGCGUAGAGAUCGGGAGGAAUACCAGUGGCGAAGGCGGCCUUCUGGACUGACACUGACACUGAGGUGCGAAAGCGUGGGUAGCAAACAGGAUUAGAUACCCUGGUAGUCCACGCCGUGAACGAUGUCGACCAGCCGUUGGGUGCCUAGCGCACCUUGUGGCGAAGUUAACGCGAUAAGUCGACCGCCUGGGGAGUACGGCCGCAAGGUUA